AUUGAACGCUGGCGGCACGCUUAACACAUGCAAGUCGAACGGUAACAUUAUUAAAAGCUUGCUUUUAAUAGAUGACGAGUGGCGGACGGGUGAGUAACGCGUAGGAAUCUGCCCCAAAGCGGGGGAUAACCUAGGGAAACUUAGGGUAAUACCGCAUAAUCUCUAAGGAGCAAAGGUCAUGGUUUACCAUGGUCGCUUUGGGAUGAGCCUGCGUUGGAUUAGUUUGUUGUUAGGGUAAUGGCCUAACAAGACAAAGAUCCAUAGCUGUUCUGAGAGGAAGAUCAGCCACACUGGGACUGAGACACGGCCCAG
RNAcentral lists this ribosomal RNA (312 nucleotides) under uncultured bacterium. RNAcentral's name for it is "bacterial SSU rRNA". It matches the Rfam family "Bacterial small subunit ribosomal RNA", at positions 30 to 334 of the family's 1533-position model. The record is from RNAcentral.